AUUGAACGCUGGCGGCAUGCCUUACACAUGCAAGUCGAACGGCAGCACGGGAGCAAUCCUGGUGGCGAGUGGCGAACGGGUGAGUAAAGUAUCGGAACGUGCCCAGUCGUGGGGGAUAACGUAGCGAAAGUUACGCUAAUACCGCAUACGAUCUAUGGAUGAAAGCGGGGGAUCGCAAGACCUCGCGCGAUUGGAGCGGCCGAUAUCAGAUUAGGUAGUUGGUGGGGUAAAGGCUCACCAAGCCGACGAUCUGUAGCUGGUCUGAGAGGAAGACCAGCCACACGGGUACUGAGACACGGCCCAGACCCCUACGGGAGGCAGCAGGGGGAAAUUGUGGACAAUGGGCGAAGGCCUGAUCCAGCCAUGCCGCGUGCAGGAUGAAGGCCUUCGGGUUGUAAACUGCUCUUGUACGGAACGAAAAGGUUUGGGCUAAUAAGCUGAGCUCAUGACGGUACCGUAAGAAUAAGCACCGGCUAACUACGUGCCAGCCGCCGCCGUAA
RNAcentral lists this ribosomal RNA (500 nucleotides) under uncultured bacterium. RNAcentral describes it as "partial 16S ribosomal RNA". It matches the Rfam family "Bacterial small subunit ribosomal RNA", at positions 29 to 523 of the family's 1533-position model. The record is from RNAcentral.